Molecule: long non-coding RNA, 885 nt
Organism: Amphiprion ocellaris (clown anemonefish)
Lineage: Eukaryota; Metazoa; Chordata; Actinopteri; Pomacentridae
Exons: 2
Source: RefSeq, a predicted model, not a curated record
AGAGAAGAUGUGCGUUGACUUCGGUGACAUCUGACCAGAGACUGUCUGUGGCUCCCACUGUGACACACACAAACACACAAAAUGUCUUCCCAGAUCUAUUUGCCUCAGGAUCAUCACCACAGCAGUAGAGGGUAAACAGCUUCCUCCGUACCAGAUGCCGUUGCUCGAUGCAGAUGGAACAAUCGAUGACGGGUUGGAGUCAGAUGAGGAACGGGAGCCAAUGGCUUUGGAUGACAUGAGGGUUUAAGUGUUAGUCUCAUUUAGAUGAGACCAAAAGGGGGAAUUGUGGGAUUUUUAUAUUUCUAAAUUGAGUUCUUAUACCCAUUUUUAUACUAAUGGCUUGCAUUUAUAGAAUCAUAUGUUUUUAUAUUAACUGCUUGCUUUUAUAGAAUCAUAUUCCUCAUGUUUUGCACUGUUUAUGAGGAUAUUUUACACUGUCUAUGAAGAUGUUAAAAUACUGGAUGAGGGAGGUAUGCAAGAGUGGAAAAUUACUAGGUGAAAAGUUAUGAUGGAGACUCUGUUUCAAGGUUGUGCUGGAAGACUCUGUUCCACAGAUAAGAACAAGGUUUCAUCCUCCCCCACAAAGAGAGGGGAACCAUCUUCAUGGCUGUGAGGUUCGGAGCGUCCAGAUCGGGACAACAAGAUGGCUGCUCAUACGCAAAGGAGGGGGUCAGAUCCACAGAGGACAACCAACCAGCAGAAAGACACACCCUGAAUGCUUAUGCACCUGUGAAACUAGAUAUAAGGCUGGGUCAGGGGAAGAACAGUGUGUCAGACUUCGUGAACUGACAAGAACUCUGUUGUUGUCAGGGAUAGAAGUUUGGACCCAGAGCUCUGUACUAUAUUCAAUCUGCUGUUAAAUAAACAUGUUUAAUGAGAUCUAAA